CCUACGUGAGGCAGCAGUGAGGUAUAUUGGUCAAUGGGCGGAAGCCUGAACCAGCCAAGUAGCGUGCGGGAUGAAGGCCCUACGGGUCGUAAACCGCUUUUGCACGGGGCUAACACCCUCCACUUGUGGAGGUCUGCAGGUACCGUGCGAAUAAGGGCCGGCUAAUUCCGUGCCAGUAGCCGCGGUAAUACGGAAGGCCCGAGCGUUAUCCGGAUUCAUUGGGCUUAAAGGGAGCGUAGGCGGGCGUUCAAGGCAGCUGUAAAAUCGCGCGGCUCAACCGCGCCCCGCAGUUGAAACUGGACGCCUUGAGUUCACAACAGGCAGGCGGAAGUCGUGGUGGAGCGGUGAAAUGCAUAGAUAUCACGAGGAACCCCGAUUGCGAAGGCAGCCUGCCGGGGUGCGACUGACGCUGAGGCUCGAAGGUGCGGGUAUCAAACAGGAUUAGAUACCCGGGUAGUC
Molecule: ribosomal RNA, 459 nt
Filed under: uncultured bacterium
Lineage: Bacteria
Description: partial 16S ribosomal RNA
Rfam family: Bacterial small subunit ribosomal RNA
Source: RNAcentral